This 466-nucleotide ribosomal RNA is filed under the name uncultured bacterium. Its description in RNAcentral is "partial 16S ribosomal RNA". It matches the Rfam family "Bacterial small subunit ribosomal RNA", at positions 28 to 507 of the family's 1533-position model. The record is from RNAcentral.
GAUGAACGCUGGCGGCGCGCCUAACACAUGCAAGUCGAACGAUUAAAGCACCUUCGGGUGUGUAUAAAGUGGCGAACGGCUGAGUAACACGUGGGCAACCUGCCCCUUUCAUUGGGAUAGCCACGGGAAACCGUGGAUAAUACCGAAUACUUCGAGACUUCCGCAUGGAAGACUCGAGAAAGCUCCGGCGGAGAGGGAUGGGCCCGCGGCCUGUUAGCUUGUUGGUGGGGUAACGGCCUACCAAGGCAAUGAUGGGGAGCUGGGUUGAGAGACCGACCAGCAAGAUUGGACCUAGGACACGGCCAGGCUUCAUAGGGAGGCAGCAGUGGGGAAUCUUGCACAAUGGGCGAAAGCCUGAUGCAGCGACGCCGCGUGCGGGAUGAAGGCCUUCGGGUUGUAAACCGCUUUCAGCAGGGACGAGGCGAAAGUGACGGUACCUGCAGAAGAAGCCCCGGCUAACUACGUG